UGUGUGAUCCUGGCUCAGAUUGAACGCUGGCGGCAUGCCUUACACAUGCAAGUCGAACGGCAGCACGGGAGCAAUCCUGGUGGCGAGUGGCGAACGGGUGAGUAAUACAUCGGAACGUGUCCUGUAGUGGGGGAUAGCCCGGCGAAAGCCGGAUUAAUACCGCAUACGCUCUACGGAGGAAAGGGGGGGAUCUUAGGACCUCUCGCUACAGGGGCGGCCGAUGGCAGAUUAGCUAGUUGGUGGGGUAAAGGCCUACCAAGGCGACGAUCUGUAGCUGGUCUGAGAGGACGACCAGCCACACUGGGACUGAGACACGGCCCAGACUCCUACGGGAGGCAGCAGUGGGGAAUUUUGGACAAUGGGCGCAAGCCUGAUCCAGCAAUGCCGCGUGUGUGAAGAAGGCCUUCGGGUUGUAAAGCACUUUUGUCCGGAAAGAAAACCUCUGGGUUAAUACCCCGGGGGGAUGACGGUACCGGAAGAAUAAGCACCGGC
This 492-nucleotide ribosomal RNA is filed under the name Burkholderia sp. EPML113. RNAcentral's name for it is "bacterial SSU rRNA". It matches the Rfam family "Bacterial small subunit ribosomal RNA", at positions 10 to 497 of the family's 1533-position model. The record is from RNAcentral. Lineage: Bacteria; Pseudomonadati; Pseudomonadota; Betaproteobacteria; Burkholderiales; Burkholderiaceae.